GAAGGGCUCAAGUCCUGCCUCCUCUCGGAAGGAGGCGGCUCCGGGGCAUCUCAGCAGCCCCCAGCGGGGUGGGGAUGGGGGGCGCUAGCCGGGGCCCCGGGCGUGGGGUGUGGAGAGCCAGAGCAGGGCGGCGGGAAACCAGCCGGAACCGGAGACGGGGAGAGGAGGGGAAGGGGGGCUGCCCUGAGUCCCCUCCGGCGGAUGGGGAGGGCUGGGCGGUCCCAGCGAGCCCCUCCCCCGAGCCCGGGCCUCCCUUAAAUGGGACGUGCGGGGGUGGCUGGACCCAGUGCGCUGGGAAAAGCUCCGACUCCGACCGCGAACUUCGGACUGCGCCAGCGAUCCCUGGAGAAGGACAGGAUGAGCUCCGGAUGGCGGGGACAGGCUUCCGGCUGGCACGGGGAACACACCCCAACUGUUUAUAUAGAUGGCAGCUGCAGAAAUAA
Molecule: long non-coding RNA, 443 nt
Filed under: Dasypus novemcinctus (nine-banded armadillo)
Lineage: Eukaryota; Metazoa; Chordata; Mammalia; Cingulata; Dasypodidae
Description: lncRNA (ENSDNOG00000052704.1)
Source: RNAcentral